UACGUAGGCAGCAAGCGUUGCUCGGAAUUACUGGGCGUAAAGAGUGUGUAGGCGGUGCUCCAAGUCUGGUGUGAAAUCUCCCGGCUUAACUGGGAGGGUGCAUUAGAAACUGGAAUGCUAGAGGAUGGGAGAGGUAAGCGGAAUUCCUGGUGUAGCGGUGAAAUGCGUAGAUAUCAGGAGGAACACCUGUGGUGUAGACAGCUUACUGGACCAUUUCUGACGCUGAGACACGAAAGCGUGGGUAGCAAACAGG
RNAcentral lists this ribosomal RNA (253 nucleotides) under uncultured bacterium. RNAcentral's name for it is "partial 16S ribosomal RNA". It matches the Rfam family "Bacterial small subunit ribosomal RNA", at positions 524 to 776 of the family's 1533-position model. The record is from RNAcentral.